Molecule: ribosomal RNA, 253 nt
Filed under: uncultured bacterium
Lineage: Bacteria
Description: partial 16S ribosomal RNA
Rfam family: Bacterial small subunit ribosomal RNA
Source: RNAcentral
UACAGAGGGUGCGAGCGUUAAUCGGAAUUACUGGGCGUAAAGCGUGCGUAGACGGUAGCGUAAGUCAGAUGUGAAAGCCCCGGGCUCAACCUGGGAAUUGCAUUUGAGACUGCUCUGCUCGGGUGCGGAAGAGGGAAGCGGAAUUUCCGGUGUAGCGGUGAAAUGCGUAGAUAUCGGGAGGAACACCGGUGGCGAAGGCGGUUCUCUGGGCCUGUACUGACGCUGAGGAGCGAAAGCGUGGGGAGCGAACAGG